CCGGCGCACGGGUGAGUAACACGUAUCCAACCUGCCGUCUACUCUUGGACAGCCUUCUGAAAGGAAGAUUAAUACAAGAUGGCAUCAUGAGUCCCCAUGUUCACAUGAUUAAAGGUAUUCCGGUAGACGAUGGGGAUGCGUUCCAUUAGAUAGUAGGCGGGGUAACGGCCCACCUAGUCUUCGAUGGAUAGGGGUUCUGAGAGGAAGGUCCCCCACAUUGGAACUGAGACACGGCCAA
Molecule: ribosomal RNA, 238 nt
Filed under: uncultured bacterium
Lineage: Bacteria
Description: partial 16S ribosomal RNA
Rfam family: Bacterial small subunit ribosomal RNA
Source: RNAcentral